UCCAUUUUCACUAAUAUAAAGGAAUUGAAUUCUUGGAAGAUGAGGCUGGAAAAGUUCAUCGUCAUUACGUCAACAUGCUAACAGAUGGUCUGCAAAGCACUUCUCAGGUUUCAUUCAGUAUUUCUGUGAAGAAGCCAGGGGAUCAUGAUGUUCUACUGUGAGAAUGACAGAAAGAGCAAACAAGAACACCUGGGUUACACGAGCUGACUUGCUUCUCUUCAAUGGACAGUAUGAACACAGAGAAAAGAAUUCUACAAAAAAGAACAACAGAGAACAAGAUAGAGAUCUUGGAGAAUAAGAAUAUGACCACCAACAGAAGGAUGGGAAGAUAACGGCCAAACGGUAGACGAACACAACAUGGGAUUCCAUUCUUGUCCUGAGAAACUCCCUAGGCAUUGGAGUAUAGAAGAUGAGAAUGCCUGAGGUUCAUUUUACGUGAAGAACUACAGACUCCUUCCAAGUUUUAUUCUCUUAAAGCUUUGUAAUAAGACAAGGAAGAAAGAAAGAGAGAAACAGAGAAAAAGUGGGAGAAGGAAGGAAGAAAGGGAAGGAGGGAGUGAGGGAGGAAGGAAGGAAGGAAGCAAGGA
This is a long non-coding RNA of Gorilla gorilla gorilla (western lowland gorilla), 587 nucleotides long. RefSeq lists it as uncharacterized. The record is from RefSeq and is a predicted model, not a curated record. The transcript is spliced from 3 exons. Lineage: Eukaryota; Metazoa; Chordata; Mammalia; Primates; Hominidae.